Molecule: ribosomal RNA, 206 nt
Filed under: uncultured bacterium
Lineage: Bacteria
Description: partial 16S ribosomal RNA
Rfam family: Bacterial small subunit ribosomal RNA
Source: RNAcentral
CAUGUAGGUGGAUCAAUUAGUCUGCUGUGAAAGUCAAAGGCUCAACCUUUGAAAGCCGGUGGAUACUGUUGGUCUAGAGUACGGAAGAGGCGAGUGGAAUUCCUGGUGUAGCGGUGGAAUGCGCAGAUAUCAGGAGGAACACCAAUAGCGAAGGCAGCUCGCUGGGACGUUACUGACACUGAGAUGCGAAAGCGUGGGGGCAAACA